UUCUGCUUUUACCUUUUGAGCCUGGAAGAAUGGUUUUUCUGCCCUAAAAAAAGGGACAGGUUUCUCUGCAUGCCAUGGGUAGGAAUUAAAUGAUCCCUCGCUCUUCCAGAGAUGUGAACUUGGCCCAGGCAUCAACACUGGGAAGCCAGAAAAGAAAGAGCAGGAAAGCCAGCUCCCUCCCCAUGACAGAGGGCGAGGGCAAGAGACAGCCACCGAAGACUCUUGCGUAAUGUGUGAGACCCAUAUACACGUGCGUGUAUGUUCUCAUUUAACACCAGUGUACACACGUGCAUGCGUGCCCCGUACUCAAUCAAGUGAGCCGCCUCCCCGUGACCCCUCCCCACUCACUCAUCCAUUGCAAAGGGACAGGAGAAAAGCAAACAGCCAGAAAGGACACAGGUAGACAAGCCUGGGAAAGACAGCCCUCGGUGGGAUGUGGACACCCACCCGCCCGGCACGGGGACCCUGGUCCUGAGUCCCCAGAAGAAGGCGCCAGGGGUAGGAGCUUGUGGCUUUGAGCUAUGAAACCCCCUUCACCUCACAGUGGCUCUCUCUCCCCUUUCUUUCCCAGCUUUUCUCCCCAAGCAAACCAUCUCUUCUUAUACUAAACUUUGCCUUUUACAAAUUCUUACUGGCUCUGGGUUUAGGAUGGCUGGGGGCUGCAUUUCAGCAGAGCAGUGCCGUGGCGUGACAUGGCCUGGAGGGACAUGGCUUGGCGUGACAUGGCAUGGCGUGACACGGUGUGGUGAGCUGUCUGCACUGGACAUAACACAGGGGCUGGGCCAAGUGGUGAGUGCCCAGCACGAGUGGGCCCAUGCCCGUGCCGUGUGACUCACUGACAGAUCUGCUUCCGGAGGUCAGGUGACCCACAGGGAGGCUCCCUGGUGGCCUAGGUGAGGUGAGGUGGGCACCAAUGUCCAGGGAGGUGGCUGGGCCAGAGCAUAGGGAGGCGGGUGGUUCCAGAGUGAGGCUGAGCCCCAGUGGGCCUUGAGCAGGGGACAGUUACUCUGAUGUCAGCGUGACCCCGCCCACACGCAGAGACGGACUCAGGGCAGGGCCUGGGAAGGUGUGGCUGCCCAUCAGGAGGAGAAGGAGGAUGAUAAUUCCAAGUCAGAGCCAAAGCUGGGCGUGCAGACCCUGCAAGAGAGGCCCCUGCCCUGCUGCAUCUCUGGGGGUGGGCCCACAGAGCUUUCAGCAUUUAGGAGGGCGUGCGGGUGCCGGCCUGUGAUCCUAGCACCGAGGGAGGCUGAGGCAGGAGGAUCACAAGUUUGACUUCAUCCUGGGCAACAUAGUGACUUAUGGAGACCCUGUCCAUAAAUUAGGAGUCAGUCAGAAAUGCAGGGCUGGGGGCACAGCCGAGAGUGAAGGUGCUGGGUUUAGUACCCCUCCGGGAGGGAGGGAGAUGGAGGGUUGAAGGGGAGGGCGAGAGGGGGAGAGGUCUCAUGUUCUUGAACCCGUUUUCUGUUUCCUCCAGGGUCUGCAGUAGCCGCCGCCCGCAGCCAGCGGAAACCGCCUUGAGUAACCACUCCUGCCACGGCCACUUCCUCCCAUUGCCUCAGAAAGGAGUUGCACACGGUUUUCACCCCACGUGUUUGCAAAAGGGGGAACCUCACCGCAGCACCCCGGGCCGUUCCUCACAGCCGUGACCCGUGCACUAUGGGGACAGCACAGCUCCAGGACUGAGACCUCCAGCCAUGCACACAGAGCCAGCAGGGAGCCGGGCGUUGGACAGGCUUCAGCGUCAAAGGCGCCGUGGUUGGCCUGCAUUUACACCUGGCCGGAGGCCACAUGAGCUUUUGACAGGAUAACUGCCCUAGUGCCCGCUGGUGUGGGGUGGAGGCCAACCCAGGUGUUUUGGAUACUGAAGACCCACUGUUCUCUGGUGCCCGGGCGCUGUGAGCCUUUUCGCCCGCCUAAGUGGAGUGGGCCUUUUCUCCACCUUCAGUAAAUGGACACCCUCACGGUGGCCUUUUCUUCCUUC
Molecule: long non-coding RNA, 1981 nt
Organism: Chinchilla lanigera (long-tailed chinchilla)
Lineage: Eukaryota; Metazoa; Chordata; Mammalia; Rodentia; Chinchillidae
Exons: 2
Source: RefSeq, a predicted model, not a curated record